AGAGUUUGAUCCUGGCUCAGGAUGAACGCUAGCGGCAGGCCUAACACAUGCAAGUCGAGGGGCAGCAUAAUUAUUCGCAAGAAUAAUGGUGGCGACCGGCGCACGGGUGCGUAACGCGUAUGCAACCUACCUUUUACUGGGGUAUAGCCCGGAGAAAUCCGGAUUAAUCCCCCAUAGUACUGACAAUUCGCAUGAUGAGUCAGUUAAAGUUUCGGCGGUAAAAGAUGGGCAUGCGUCCUAUUAGCUAGAUGGUAAGGUAACGGCUUACCAUGGCUACGAUAGGUAGGGGGCCUGAGAGGGUGGUCCCCCACACUGGUACUGAGACACGGACCAGACUCCUACGGGAGGCAGCAGUGAGGAAUAUUGGUCAAUGGGCGCAAGCCUGAACCAGCCAUGCCGCGUGCAGGAAGAAUGUCCUAUGGAUUGUAAACUGCUUUUAUUUGGGAAUAAACCCCCCGACGUGUCGGGGUCUGAAGGUACCAAAUGAAUAAGCACCGGCUAACUCCGUGCCAGCAGCCGCGGUAAUACGGAGGGUGCAAGCGUUAUCCGGAAUCAUUGGGUUUAAAGGGUCCGCAGGCGGGCAUAUAAGUCAGUGGUGAAAGCCUACAGCUCAACUGUAGAACUGCCAUUGAUACUGUAAGUCUUGAAUUCGGUCGAAGUGGGCGGAAUGUGUAGUGU
RNAcentral lists this ribosomal RNA (678 nucleotides) under uncultured Flexibacter sp. RNAcentral describes it as "bacterial SSU rRNA". It matches the Rfam family "Bacterial small subunit ribosomal RNA", at positions 8 to 676 of the family's 1533-position model. Lineage: Bacteria; Pseudomonadati; Bacteroidota; Cytophagia; Cytophagales; Flexibacteraceae. The record is from RNAcentral.